GUCUUUUUGGUAUUUAAUAUAAAGUCUAACCUGCCCACUGAAAUUAAUUUAAAGGGCCGCAGUAUUUUGACUGUGCAAAGGUAGCAUAAUCAUUAGUCUUUUAAUUGAAGGCUGGUAUGAAUGGUUGGAUAAGAUACAAGCUGUGUCAUAAAAAUUAAUAAUUGAAUUUAACUUUUUAGUUAAAAGGCUAAAAUAAAAUUAAAAGACGAGAAGACCCUAUAGAGCUUUAUAUAAUAAUUAUUUAAGUUAUUUAGUUUUUUAAAAUUUAAUUUUUAUAUUAUAUUUUGUUGGGGUGACAAUAAAAUUUAUAAAACUUUUAUUUUUAAUUUACAUUAAUUUAUGGUUAAAUGAUCCAGUUUUACUGAUUAUAAGUUUAAGUUACCUUAGGGAUAACAGCGUAAUUUUUUUUGAGAGUUCUUAUCGACAAAAAAGAUUGCGACCUCGAUGUUGGAUUAAGAGUAAUUUUGGGUGUAGAAGUUCAAAAUUUAAGUCUGUUCGACUUUUAAAUUCUUACAU
This 516-nucleotide ribosomal RNA is filed under the name Simulium yonakuniense. Its description in RNAcentral is "partial 16S ribosomal RNA". The stretch from base 389 to 516 matches the Rfam family "Bacterial large subunit ribosomal RNA", at positions 2473 to 2601 of the family's 2925-position model. The record is from RNAcentral. Lineage: Eukaryota; Metazoa; Arthropoda; Insecta; Diptera; Simuliidae.